RNAcentral lists this ribosomal RNA (436 nucleotides) under uncultured bacterium. RNAcentral's name for it is "bacterial SSU rRNA". It matches the Rfam family "Bacterial small subunit ribosomal RNA", at positions 355 to 786 of the family's 1533-position model. The record is from RNAcentral.
UGAGGAAUAUUGGUCAAUGGGCGGGAGCCUGAACCAGCCAAGCCGCGUGAGGGAAGAAGGCCCUAUGGGUCGUAAACCUCUUUUGUCAGGGAACAAAAGCGAGUAUGUAUACUGGUCUGAGUGUACCUGAAGAAAAAGCAUCGGCUAACUCCGUGCCAGCAGCCGCGGUAAUACGGAGGAUGCGAGCGUUAUCCGGAUUUAUUGGGUUUAAAGGGUGCGUAGGCGGCGGUGCAAGUCAGCGGUAAAAGCCCGGGGGCUCAACCCCGGCGAGCCGUUGAAACUGCAGUGCUAGAGAAGGCGAGAGGUAUGCGGAAUGCGCAGUGUAGCGGUGAAAUGCUUAGAUAUUGCGCAGAACUCCGAUUGCGAAAGGCAGCGUACUGGCGCCUGACUGACGCUGAGGCACGAAAGCGUGGGGAUCGAACAGGGAUUAGAUACC